ACUUUCCAUGCUGAAAAAAUAAGAGAAUGAUGAAAUCAUCAAGACUGGGGUUCAGAAGGAUCCCUCAGAAAGAUCCUGGGAUGGAUGUGAAUGUCAGAGAAUGGCAGGACAAGCCAUAAAAAUCACAGCCUGCUCCGAGAAGGACACAGAAUAAGACAGAAGUCACAACACUGAGAUGGGAGAGUGAGAAAAAAAGCCAGAAGCACAAAAUCUAAACUAUAGGGAAGUCGAGCCUGCAGUAAUGGUUCUUCAACCAUUGGAUCUCUUGGAGCUUUCUUAUGCUUCUUCUUCUGGUGCCUCGUGGCAUAGAGAGAUGUAUCUGGGAGAAUCCAAAUUCCUCAGAUUGCACAUGCCAGUAGAGACCAAAUGUGUAACCUCUGUGAUGCAAAUUAUAUUUAACCAGCUCUGGGGACUGAAUAUGGAUUGCUGCUUUGGAAAGACCCAGAAGUAA
Long non-coding RNA from Parus major (Great Tit), 451 nucleotides. The record is from Ensembl. NCBI's taxonomy places the organism in Eukaryota, Metazoa, Chordata, Aves, Passeriformes, Paridae.